CGUGGGUAACCUGCCCAAGAGAUCGGGAUAACACCUGGAAACAGAUGCUAAUACCGGAUAACAACAGAUGAUGCCUAUCAACUGUUUAAAAGAUGGUUCUGCUAUCACUCUUGGAUGGACCUGCGGUGCAUUAGCUAGUUGGUAGGGUAACGGCCUACCAAGGCGAUGAUGCAUAGCCGAGUUGAGAGACUGAUCGGCCACAUUGGGACUGAGACACGCCCAAACUCCUACGGGAGGCAGCAGGA
This 245-nucleotide ribosomal RNA is filed under the name uncultured Lactobacillus sp. RNAcentral's name for it is "partial 16S ribosomal RNA". It matches the Rfam family "Bacterial small subunit ribosomal RNA", at positions 116 to 354 of the family's 1533-position model. Lineage: Bacteria; Bacillati; Bacillota; Bacilli; Lactobacillales; Lactobacillaceae. The record is from RNAcentral.